CAGAGAGCCAACUGUGAAAUGAUGACUUGGGAAAAGGCAGUGAAAAUACAGGGUUAUUGGAGCGUUUGCCUUCCUGGGGCCUGAGCUCAGAGUCAGCAGGGGCAGGAGCCAGCAGAGUGGAAUCCAGGCUCCAUAGACUCACAACUUCCCUCACUGUUCUCAGGUCCUUGCCACUCAGGGAGGAGAAGAAAGGAUCCCCUUGUUAGGAAAGUAAUGGGAAGCUUCAGUCAAUCUACCCUCUCACAACCCUGGCUCCAUUACCUGACAAUCUACUCAUCCCUUUCUGGCUUCUGGGGCACCUGUGAUUUGAUUCACAAAAUCUGCCUGCCAUGUAGGAGACGCAGAAGGUCAGGAAGAUCCCCUGGAGGAGGAAAUGGCAACCCAUGCCGGUAUUCUUGUUCAGAAAAGCUCACGGACACUGGAGCUUGGCGGGCUCAGUACAUAGGGUUGCAAAGAGAGGAAAGAACUGAGAGACUGAGCAUGUGACCGGAUUAGCUCCGUCUGAAUCAUCUCCCCUUUUCUGGGUCAAGUGUGCUACGUAACUUAACACAGCCACAGGAAUAAUAUCUCUUCCUGUUCACGGGUUCCAGGCAGGAGGAUGUAGAAUCUUGAGUGUUUUCCUAGAAUGUCUGCCUGCCACAGGGACACCUCUACAGAAAAAAAAAAAAAAUUGUUUGCUACUCUGCUUCCUCUUCUGUCUUCUCUUGAAUGUUCUUGAAGAGGAUAUCUCUUCAAGGUUGGGAGGCUGAACAAAAGUCAACACAGUAACACUGGCAGAGUGAGAAGUCAAAUACAACAGAUUGCUAGACAAUUUUCUUCAGUUAUCAUUAUUGAAAAAAUUGAAGCUUCCCAGAUGGAGCCAAACCCAAGUUCUGAGGAGGAAUCAUUAUUCAAAAUCAUUGAAAUCAUUAUUGAAAAAUUGAAUCUUCUCAGAUGGAGCCAAACCCAAGUUCUGAAGAGGAAUAUAUACAAACUCAAAGUUUCCUUGUGUUAGAAAGAGCAAUACUGUUGAGCUAGGUUCUCUGAGGUGCUGGAUUAUAUAUUAUAUAUUUAAUGCCUGGAAAUACUCUGUGAUUAUAGUUGGUACUCAAUGUUUCUCCAUUAACUAUUAUAUUAAAAAAAAAAAACAAGACUAGAGUAAACAGAUAUGGAAAAGACUGAUAAAUAAGAAAGUUCUUGAUUAAAACUAAGUAUUUUAUCCCAGUACCAUACAGUUGUGAUCACUAUAGCUUUGUGGUAUGGUUUGAAAUCUGGGACAUGA
Molecule: long non-coding RNA, 1261 nt
Filed under: Bos indicus x Bos taurus (hybrid cattle)
Lineage: Eukaryota; Metazoa; Chordata; Mammalia; Artiodactyla; Bovidae
Description: lncRNA (ENSBIXG00000022655.1)
Source: RNAcentral